This 434-nucleotide ribosomal RNA is filed under the name uncultured bacterium. RNAcentral's name for it is "partial 16S ribosomal RNA". It matches the Rfam family "Bacterial small subunit ribosomal RNA", at positions 29 to 507 of the family's 1533-position model. The record is from RNAcentral.
AGCGAACGCUGGCGGCAGGCCUAACACAUGCAAGUCGAACGAACCUUUCGGGGUUAGUGGCGGACGGGUGAGUAACACGUGGGAACGUGCCUUUAGGUUCGGAUUAACUCAGGGAAACUUGUGCUAAUACCGAAUGGGCCCUUCGGGGGAAAGAUCUAUCGCCUUUAGGGCGGCCCGUGUCUGAUUAGCUAGUUGGGUGAGGUAAUGGCUCACCAAGGCGACGAUCAGUAGCUGGUCUGAGAGGAUGAUCAGACACAUUGGGACUGGGACGCGGCCCAAACUCCUACGCGAUGCAGCAGAGGGGAAUCUUGCGCAAUGGGCGAAGGCCUGACGCAGCCAUGCCGGGUGAAUGAUGAAGGUCGUAGGAUUGUAAUAUUCUUUCACCGGGGACGAUAAUGACGGUACCCGGAGAAGAAGCCCCGGCUAACUUCGUG